Herbaspirillum sp. is the source of this 377-nucleotide non-coding RNA. It matches the Rfam family "transfer-messenger RNA". Rfam says of the family: Bacterial tmRNA, also known as 10Sa RNA or SsrA, is named for its dual tRNA and mRNA-like properties. Lineage: Bacteria; Pseudomonadati; Pseudomonadota; Betaproteobacteria; Burkholderiales; Oxalobacteraceae. The record is from Rfam.
GGGGGCGACCUGGUUUCGACAGGGGUUGCAAAGCAGCGCAGGGCAUACCGAGGACUGGCUACCUCGUUAAUCCAACCGGAAAUGCUUAAAUGCAAACGAUGAAUCUUACGCUCUCGCAGCGUAAACCACUAGAAACCUAAGAACUUUCUAGCUCUACACCAUCUCUUCCCUGGGGUGGGCUGGCAACAGCAGUAGAGUCAUAUACAGGGAAUCGCGUUGCGUCGGGUUACUUGGCGUAACGUUAAAUUUAGGUGGCUCGCCUAGACGAAGCGUGUGCGUCCGCGUCGGCUGGGUUAAAACCAAUUGGCAGCACUAAGUAUGUAGAACUGUCUGUAGAGUGCUUCUGGACGCGGGUUCGAUUCCCGCCGCCUCCACCA